Molecule: non-coding RNA, 239 nt
Filed under: Paucilactobacillus wasatchensis
Lineage: Bacteria; Bacillati; Bacillota; Bacilli; Lactobacillales; Lactobacillaceae
Description: Lactobacillus wasatchensis T-box sequence
Rfam family: T-box leader
About the family: Uncharged tRNA acts as the effector for transcription antitermination of genes in the T-box leader family. T-boxes are found upstream of many aminoacyl-tRNA synthetase genes and some amino acid biosynthetic genes usually in Gram-positive bacteria.
Source: RNAcentral
AGAAAAGCAACGAAAAGUAGGAGUAAAUAGCGAGAGGUAUUUAGCGAGUGUUCGUUUGGUGAAAGAACAUUGCCAGUAGUUAUUGAAAGUAGGCUUGGAGCUGUAAAUGCAACGAACGCUGAGUGUUUACUGGGUGCCCCCAUUACAGGGCCAACGAAUCUGACAAUUGUCAUGCUCGUCAAGACUGUUAUUUAGGUAACAGUAAAAUCAAGGUGGUACCGCGCAUAUGCGCCCUUCAA